UACAUGUUGCUACCUUCUUUUUGAGACAUUGUGACUAUAAUUUGAUUUGGUUCAACAUGUACAUAUAGAACCCUUUUUGUUGGUAUUAUGUCGCAUGUGUUGUGACAUGGUAUUUUGUUAGAAUAUACCGUAGGGUAUACCAGAGCUAUAACCACCUGUGGGGGUACCACAGGCAUGUCGUCUUGGCACGAGAGACAUGACACUUUCCGUGGCGGUGUGGUUAGUCCACAGUGUCUCCGUUUUGGGCUCCGGAGGUAGUGGGCCAUUUGGUGUUUUGUUGUGGGAGGCGUAUGGGUUAACCCUAGUUUUCUGUUCUGCGAAUUGGUGAUGUUGUGCCAAACACACUAUCCG
Molecule: long non-coding RNA, 351 nt
Filed under: Panax ginseng (ginseng)
Lineage: Eukaryota; Viridiplantae; Streptophyta; Magnoliopsida; Apiales; Araliaceae
Description: long non-coding RNA (PGIN_LNC019131)
Source: RNAcentral